GUGAAUCUCGGCGGCGCGAUUGGAGGAGCGCGGUGGUCGUAGUACAGCAGCCGGAGCAGUAGUGGCGGUGGAGUUGCUCGGCGUCUGAAAUUAAGGUCGCGCCUUUCGCGGUUGGCUGGGGAAGAAGGUGGCGUUGGAGACUUGGAGUGAUGAGAGAGGUGGGCGGAGACGCGGUGGUCGACGGGCAGCCGGAGCAGUAGUGGCGGUGGAGUUGCUCGGCGUCUGAAAUUAAGGCCGCGCCUUUCGCGGUUGGCUGGGGAAGAAGGUGGCGUUGGAGACUUGGAGUGAUGAGAGAGGUGGGCGGAGAUGCGGUGGUCGACGGAACAAAAGGAUUUUUUUUUUUUUUUAAUUUAAAAGAGCUUGACAAAACGACGUCGUUUUACUAUAUCGGAAAAUCGUCCACGUCAACAAAAUCCGGCGGCCACGUCACCACCGAUCAAAGUGUUAGUCAACGCGGGUGCAAAUUGCGAUUAAAUUGAAAAGUCAUGUAUUCUGGGGCUAAUUUUGAAGGUCAUGUGCAAUAUGCAAAUCUCAAAAUAGUUCGUGUAUUUUCCGGCUAUUAACCC
Molecule: long non-coding RNA, 566 nt
Filed under: Salvia miltiorrhiza (redroot sage)
Lineage: Eukaryota; Viridiplantae; Streptophyta; Magnoliopsida; Lamiales; Lamiaceae
Description: long non-coding RNA (SMIL_LNC010709)
Source: RNAcentral